Non-coding RNA from Nicotiana tabacum (common tobacco), 1800 nucleotides. The record is from RefSeq and is a predicted model, not a curated record. NCBI's taxonomy places the organism in Eukaryota, Viridiplantae, Streptophyta, Magnoliopsida, Solanales, Solanaceae.
CCCCCCGACCACCACCAUACCCACCACCACCCCCGGGUCGGAGAUGAGAGGAGCUGACCCAUAAAAUAUCUGCAAAAUUUUCUACUACUAUUUUUUAUUUUAUAGUUUUGUGAUUCUUGGGUUUAUGGAGUGUAGAGAAAUGUGGGAUCUAAACGAUUCUCCAGAUCGACGAAGGGAUGAUAAAUCAGAAGAAGGCUUCUCUUCUCCUAUAGAGCUAGAGGGCGAUGAUGAGAAAGGUAAACGGGUCGGAUCCGUUUCGAAUUCAAGUUCAUCAGCAGUAGCUAUUGAUGAUAUUUCGGAGGAGGAAGAAGGAGAAAAAGGCAAGAAAAAGAGAAGUAGUCCUAGCAAAAUAUUUGGCUUCUCCGUGGUGGGUCCCGGUAACGACGAUGAGGAACAGCCGGUAACCCGCCAGUUUUUCCCGGUUGAUGAGUCUGAGCCAGGUGCCCCUACCAAUGGAUCCCCGAAUUUUCCCAUGGCUCACUGGGUUGGAGUUAAAUUUUACCAAACUGAGCCACUUGGCAACACGGGAGCGGGCAAGCCAAUGGAUGUGGCUCAGCAACAGCAGCAGCAGCAGCCUAUGAAGAAGAGCCGCCGUGGACCAAGGUCUAGGAGCUCACAGUACCGUGGGGUUACCUUUUACCGGAGAACUGGCCGGUGGGAGUCUCACAUAUGGGAUUGCGGGAAGCAAGUCUAUCUAGGUGGGUUUGACACGGCACAUGCAGCAGCUCGGGCAUACGAUAGGGCAGCUAUCAAAUUCCGGGGAGUAGAAGCAGACAUAAACUUUAACUUAGAGGAUUAUGAGUCCGACUUGAAACAGAUGACCAAUUUAACAAAGGAAGAAUUUGUGCAUGUGCUUCGGAGGCAAAGUACUGGAUUUCCGAGGGGAAGCUCCAAGUAUAGAGGGGUGACUUUGCACAAAUGUGGUAGAUGGGAAGCUAGAAUGGGACAGUUCUUAGGCAAAAAGUAUGUUUAUUUGGGCCUCUUUGAUACUGAGGUUGAAGCUGCCAGGGCUUAUGAUAAAGCUGCUAUCAAGUGUAAUGGGAAGGAUGCAGUUACUAACUUUGAUCUUAGCAUUUAUGAAAAUGAACUCAACUCAACUGAAUCUACUGAUAACGCAGCAGAUCACAAUCUUGACCUAAGCUUGGGUGGUUCAAGCUCAAAGCAAGGAAACCGAGAAAUUGGGGAUAAUAACAAUAGGGGUCAAAAUCCUUCAUCUAUGCAAUUUGAUGUUGAUUGGCGGCAGCAAGGAUUAAGGCCUGAGAAGCAAACUGCUCCAAUCGAUAUGAAUGCUCGAAGAAGAGAUAAGGGGUACAAUGAAUCAGAAACGUUGCAGCUCUUGAGCCAGACACACCUACAUUCUCCAGUCUCGUUGAAGCCUAAUAAUAAUAGUCAAGUGNAAAUGUAGGAGAAAUUUCGCUGUCAACAAGCAAUGCUUCUUCACAAUGGCAAUCCAAUUAUCCUUCUCAGAUAUUUGCAGCUGCUGCAGCAUCAUCAGGAUUCCCCCAGCAGAUAGUAAGGCCUCAAAAUUGGUCCUCAGAAAAUGGCUUCCAUCACUCUCUCAUGAGACCCUCUAAUUAACUUCUUCAUCAUCAUAUUUCUUUGCCAUUUAUAAACCUUUGUAAAGAGUUAAGGGUUGAGAUUCUUAAUACAUAGUAUUACCCAAGGCUCUUGGUUACAACCCCGGAAAAAGAAAAAUAGAAACAAAAAUUUUUGGGAAAUUCUAACUCUUUGGAAAAUUAUGUCUCCUCCGCAUUUGUCCAAAACUAACUGAAGGAAAGAUUUUCAACUAGUCUUCUAUUA